GUGUCAUUUAUCGCUUCCUCUCAUCUUUCCCCACCUGCUUUUGCUCAUUUCAGAAGAUGAAGAUGGGCAGGAGACAAUCCAGUGCCUGUGUUGAUGUAACAGAUGAGAUGCCUGUGCACUGAAAACACCCCAACUGGGCCGGUCUGCGGGAGAAGCGCCAGGGUCCACCGCACACGCUCUUCAUGUCAGACUUAGCUAAAGUUGCCCUAAUCCCUAAUUUCUGUCUGUCUUGGUUUAAACAGAUUGAUUACACCCCUCACAAGCUCCCAGCCCUUUUCACAUUCUUUGAUAUCUAAUUGCCCCUCUUCUCUACAACCUCCUACCCCUUUCCUAUUGCCCCCUCUUUUCCCAGGACAUCCGGAAAGGGAAACCACAAUAACAUUUCACCAGAGACUCAGUCAAUAUUAUUCCUUGACAUCUUCAAAGCAGGACAGAGGAUAUUGGAGCCCAAGCAAGAGAUGGGUGGAGGGGACUGUCAGCGGCUGACGGAGAUGCCCGGCAACAGAAGUGAACAUGAAGUGGUGAGAAGAGGCGUGGAGAGGAGGGGAGAACAUGCCCCGGGACAAAGAGCUGCUUGUCUGAGGCCCGUCUGCCACCAGCCUGCAUUGUAGGACCCGCUGCCACUCGUUUGAGGGGGACCCCAAGAUAAAUUCCCCCUACUUGACUCUGUCGCACCGUCUGCCACUUGGACAAUAACUGAGGUCACAGCAGGAAGUGGAGUGCUGACAUCAAUGCCUGCAGGGGUCACUUUCUCUCAGCUCUUGCAUUUUUUGUCACAUUUUUACACUUUAAAGAAUGGAGCAGGACGUAGCAUAAAUAUUUCCCAGUCCUCUAUAAUCUAAACAGUACAUUUAUGGCCAUUAAUCAUACAAGCCCAUGACCCUGCAAGACCUUUUCAUUACAUUUUUUUAAACAGAAAAGGACAGAGAUGAAUGCAGUCCCUCUGAGAAGGAAGCACGUGGCAGCAUUUGAUGUAUCGUUCAUUUAUGUUUACCAAAUGACUUUGCUGAAAAUUUGGUAAAACGAUCUUCUGAGCUGCCAGCAUUAAGAUGCAGCAACAUUUAAAAUCCAGACAUUACCUCAUUUUCCUUUAAUUAAAAAGGUUGCACAGUAUUUGGACAAUGAAAGACAAGAGGAGCAAUUUCCCUAUGAAUUUAAUUCUGAUAAUCUUCUGAUUUAUUUUCAAAGCGUCCCCAGUUUUCUUUCAAUUAUGAUUAUUAUGUUUUUAGCCCAAAUAAAAAAGCUGUGUGUUUUAGGACUUAGUUUCUGCAGAGCGACCGGAGUUCAUCAAAAAUUCAAAGAGAACCUGGCUGCAGACAACAAGAUGGCACCCUGACAUCCUUAACUAGAGCCAGAAGUUUGGGACGGGAAGUUCAUGACCCAUCCAUCCCCAUUUCAGUUGAAAAAUACUUUUUUUUUGGUUGAAAAAGACAAAUUUCCCCGGAGUCCCUAACUAAGAGUUGUGCCUUUUUCCGUUUUAACGUCGGAGAUGUUAAAAAUCGGAGAUGUCUCUGUCAAAACCCACUAUUCUUUGACCGUCAGGCUGUUCGCCAUCAAUGUGAAUCAGUCAGCUAAUCGGCAGAGAAAAGCGGCUUUUCACUGCUAAGUAACACAUUUAAUUAGUAAAGUGUUUCAUAUCAGCACAAAGCCACUUUCAUCCAUUUAUUCACAUAAAGUUUUAAUAAAAGGUGCUACAAUUCUGAAAUCUUGUGGAAUUUCUGCUUCUGGUCAAUGAUGCCUGCAAACCAGGUCGCCCUCAGAAAUUCACCUUUGAGGUGUGGGCGGGACUGUUUGGUGAGUCAAAACCUGACCUGACUUCCCAUCAUCCCUUUGUGUACAAGCUUAAAGGCCAUCACGCCCCCAACCUAACGUUAGCGAUGCAACAAAAAUGGUAAACAAUUUUGGAGCUAUCCAGCCGUUUAGGCCCAGAUUCCAGCUCAGAUGGUGAAAACAAAGACACACUUGCAUCUAUUUGUCUGCAAGUGGAUGCAUUAGGAUGGAGCCUGUGGCCCUCGGUCACUAAACUGCAUGUUUUGCUUCUGCUCCUGAUUCACAAAGGUUUGAAUUAAGAAAUACUCAAAAACGGCUAUUUGAGCUUCAUUUUCUUAAUAUACGUCCUCCAUCAUCAGGAAAAAGGCCACACAAACACGUUUUUUUUUUUAUCAAAGUGGGUCUUUCAUGGGAUAAAUGCCUCCAACCUGCAACACUUGAACCAAAGGAGAACUCUACUGCAAAAAAAUUGUUCUCCAGAAGCUUUCAGUUCAUGUUGGUGUUUCAGCAACAUAAGAAAAAUCCAUCUAUCAUAAAAGAACUGUGAAAGACUCAAGGAGAAGUUAAUAAAAACAUUUCCCUCCUCCGCAGUUCUUCUGCGUCUGUCUUUGGGGGCUUUGCUCACGCAAACCUGUCAUCCCCAUCUCAACCUGC
This is a long non-coding RNA of Oryzias sinensis (Chinese medaka), 2424 nucleotides long. The record is from Ensembl. Lineage: Eukaryota; Metazoa; Chordata; Actinopteri; Beloniformes; Adrianichthyidae.